CUGAUGGUAGUCUAUUAGUCUACCAUGGUUAUUACGGGUAACGGAGAAUAAGGGUUCGACUCCGGAGAGGGAGCCUUAGAAACGGCUACCACAUCCAAGGAAGGCAGCAGGCGCGAAACUUAUCCAAUCUUGAAUAGAUGAGAUAGUGACUAAAAAUAAAAAGACCAUUCCUAUGGAACGGUCAUUUCAAUGAGUUGAUCAUAAACCUUUUUUCGAGGAUCAAGUGGAGGGCAAGUCUGGUGCCAGCAGCCGCGGUAAUUCCAGCUCCACUAGUGUAAAUCGUCAUUGCUGCGGUUAAAAAGCUCGUAGUUGGAUCUGAGUCGCAUGCAGUAGUUCGCCUUUGGCGUUAAUUAUUGUUGUGACUAUUUGCUGGUUUUCUAUUGAAAUCUCGAUUUCUUUAGUGGCUAGCGAGUUUACUUUGAAUAAAUUAGAGUGCUCAGAACAAGCGUUUGCUUGAAUGAUCGAUCAUGGAAUAA
Molecule: ribosomal RNA, 476 nt
Filed under: Crenosoma striatum
Lineage: Eukaryota; Metazoa; Nematoda; Chromadorea; Rhabditida; Crenosomatidae
Description: SSU rRNA
Rfam family: Eukaryotic small subunit ribosomal RNA
Source: RNAcentral